UCCUACCGAGUUUUUCGUUGAGCCUGGAGUGGUGCCAGCAUCCCACGAAUGACGCACAGGACAACGGAGCCAUACCAACGUGUGCACGUAUAGUCUAUAUCAUCAACUUCGCGGCAAAAUAAGAGAUGUUAGUAGUCUAGAAAUGGGGGACUAUUUUGUCAUAAAAGAGCAUAAAAGCAAAUUAGCAAUUUUUGUCGUAUCUCCAAGGAUAAAAAAAGGUCGGCAGUACAUUCCCACUGAAAGUUGUCACAAGCCAGACGAGAGUUGGUGAAAAUUCCAUAAUCUCUCAUUACCGCCUCCUAGAACCGCCAAAUCCAGUACUUUCCGUCGUUGAAGCAGAGGGUGAAAAUGCCGGCCUAGAAUAUCUUGCUCUUGAGCUUUCUGCUCGGUCCGAUCCCCAUCCCCACCCAGAUCUUGAUUCCGACCCACCCCGCCUGCCCAGAGCAUAUGCUGCCGCGCUCCCAGCCGCUGCACCAGUCCAAAACCCAGGCGUCCACGACGGCAUCUUCCUAAAUCCCGAAUAUUCAUAUGGAGGUGGCGGAUCAUUCCAUCCUCCCCAUCCUCCCCAUCCUCCCCAUCCUCCCCAUCCUCCGCCUCCACCGCCUCCAGGACCCCAUCCACCUCCCCAGCCCCACCAUGGCCGGCCGCCUCUCCUCUGCCGAGCUCCGCCAGCUAGACAACCAUAGGCCAAUAGGAAAAUAACAGCCAAGACUCCGUAAAACAACAAGGAGGAAAUUAGCUCCCAGAGGGACUCCAACCAGCUACGCACAUUCCCGUACCCACCAACGAGUUCCCCGUACCUUUGCUCCCCCCUCUCCGUCAACAGCAACCGGUAUUCCACCCCACAACUCCCUUUCAACACCCACGGAUCCUCCUUAUCCCGGUAGCCUUCACAGACCACAUCCGUGCUCCCCAGCCUAAACUCCGGCGGCAAGUGCGCCGUGCACGUCCACUGCACGUCAUUCACGUCGUAGUCAUGUCCUUGAUUCACGCAGCGCAUGGUAUCUGGGGUGUAGAGGGCGCAUAUCUUCUUCGAGGGCCCGAUGCAGGUUAGUUGUUCGACGGCGGGGAGGCGGCGGUGGGUUGUUUUGCGGUUCGAGUGGAAGGUUAAGGAUUGGAUGGCGCUGAGGAGGACGGCAUCUUUGGAGGCAGGUGCUCUUGAGGGCUUGUAGGCUUGGGCUUGAGCCGGGAGGAGGGAGAGGAGGACGGAGAGGAGGGGAACGAUGGUUGUGUAGAUGCGUGUCAUUUUUGGGUGGUGAACAUGGUAAGUGAUGUUUGAUAGAGAGCACUGGAGCUGUUACGGAGGUUAGUUUCCUGGUUAAAUAAAGGCUGCUUUCACUAGGAGGUUCGCCCGGCUCAAUAAAUCUUUACUGCUCGUGACAAAAACAUCAUUAGGCAGACAAAUUUUUGAAGCUUAGUUGUCAACUUCGAAACAAAAAUAGUCAACGAGCUGCGUUAGAAACUCAGAAACUCUUGGGCGCUUAGCACGCCCAAUAAAAACGACGCACUAAAUUUGUAAGCGGCA
Molecule: small RNA, 1525 nt
Filed under: Histoplasma ohiense
Lineage: Eukaryota; Fungi; Ascomycota; Eurotiomycetes; Onygenales; Ajellomycetaceae
Description: hypothetical lncRNA
Source: RNAcentral